Molecule: long non-coding RNA, 1400 nt
Filed under: Malus domestica (apple)
Lineage: Eukaryota; Viridiplantae; Streptophyta; Magnoliopsida; Rosales; Rosaceae
Description: long non-coding RNA (MDOM_LNC011684)
Source: RNAcentral
CUGCCAUAAUGGGAUGUGCUUCCAAUGCCAAUAAAAAGUAAGGGAACUUUCAUGAAAAGAGUUUGGAUUAAGUUUAUUUUAAUAAAAAAUCAUGUUAUAACUUUAUUUAAUUAAAAAGACUUAAAUUUUAAUGAAAACCCCUUAAAUUUUAAUAAAAAUGACAAAAGAACUUAAAUUUUAAUGAAAAAGACAUAAUUUUAAUAUUAAAAAAAAAAUCUGACGCGCGGACCCACGCGUCUUCACACUGUUUAUGAAACUUCUACACUGUUUAUGAAACUUACGACACUAUUUAUGAAACUUAUUGCACUAUUUAUGAAAACUUACGACACUAUUUAUGAAACUUACAACAUUGUUUAUGAAACUUAACGGUAUUACAUUUUUUUUCUCCUCUUCUUGAAAGUUCCCAAUAAACUUUCUUCAUCAGAAACUUUCCUCUAUUGGAUCAGACCAAUCAAAAGAAGUCAUCAUCCUCCCUAGAUCCACUUUUUUAUGCAUGUCCACUCAUCUGUACCAAAAUUCACCAACGGAACUGAGAGACGAAAUUGUUUGCAUCUUUUGGAUACAGUACCCACUCGAGUGAGGUCUUUGAAAUGGAGGAAGGAAAAAAUACGAUGAACAACUUCCUCCGGAAGAUCACUAAAUUUGUCCAUUCCACUUUCAGAGCAAGUUCCUUCAAAUUCACAACUUGUAGAUGCCUAGAGCUUACGCUUGCGCGCCAUCGUAGUGACUCCUCAAGGCGGUGGUCAGAUCCAAUAGAGAAAAAUAGGAUGCCCUUCCCAAACACCUAAUCAAAUUCUCACAUAGGCAUAUCAUCAAACACUUUCCAGCCACAACGACAAUCAACUAAUUUCAAAAACCCUGAGCAAAAUCAACAUGCUUUUGGCAAUGAAAAGUGUAGAAUUAGACAGAAAUUCGAAGUUGAAAUCCAAGUUUUCAGAAAAUUGGAUGUUCUGCAAACAAAUCACUUACAGGUGGUAAGGUAGGGUGGUACGCACCCCAGCACAAGUUGGGUUUGUUAGGUUUUUUUUUUCUUUUCGUCUUUUGUCCUUAUUAUUAAAUAAAAUUACUGGGUGGUUUUUUUUUAUUAAAAUGUAAAGAUUUGAGGUACUUUUCAUUAGUUUUCCCAAAAAGUAACCCAUCCAAUUGUAUUUAACAUCCAAAAAACUGCCAAAUAAAAUGUGUCCCAAGCCGAAAUAUCACAAGUCCCACCUUGUCUCGGAUCAUCGCAAGGAAAACUAUAACCAAAUUUUUUUUAUCUGCCAUUAACUUGGAACCACGUGCAUCUAAAGUACUUUUUACUAAUAUCAAUGUAGUUGUAUGUAAACCUAGAGCAAUAGCAUGAUGAAUCAAGAAAUCUUCAGGUCCUAUUGUUAAGAAUAGUGAAUUACUAUUCUCAUUAA